RNAcentral lists this ribosomal RNA (449 nucleotides) under uncultured bacterium. Its description in RNAcentral is "partial 16S ribosomal RNA". It matches the Rfam family "Bacterial small subunit ribosomal RNA", at positions 354 to 796 of the family's 1533-position model. The record is from RNAcentral.
GUCGAGAAUCUUUCACAAUGGGGGCAACCCUGAUGGAGCGACGCCGCGUGGAGGAUAAGGUCUUCGGAUUGUAAACUCCUGUCAUGCGUGAACAAGGUUGCUUGGUUAAUACCUGGGCAAAUUGAUGGUAACGCAAGAGGAAGAGACGGCUAACUCUGUGCCAGCAGCCGCGGUAAUACAGAGGUCUCAAGCGUUGUUCGGAAUCACUGGGCGUAAAGGGUGCGUAGGUGGCGUGGUAAGUCAGAUGUGAAAGCCCGGGGCUCAACCUCGGAACUGCAUCAGAUACUGCCAUGCUAGAGUACUGGAGAGGUGACUAGAAUUCUCGGUGUAGCAGUGAAAUGCGUAGAUAUCGAGAGGAAUACCAAAGGCGUAGGCAGGUCACUGGACAGUUACUGACACUGAGGCACGAAGGCCAGGGGAGCGAACGGGAUUAGAUACCCUAGUAGUCC